AUUCUACUCGCUUAGUGGUAGAGCGCUUGCUUAGCAUGCAUGAAGCCCUGGGUUUGAUCCUUGGUACCAUA
Molecule: transfer RNA, 71 nt
Filed under: Dipodomys ordii (Ord's kangaroo rat)
Lineage: Eukaryota; Metazoa; Chordata; Mammalia; Rodentia; Heteromyidae
Rfam family: tRNA
About the family: Transfer RNA (tRNA) molecules are approximately 80 nucleotides in length. Their secondary structure includes four short double-helical elements and three loops (D, anti-codon, and T loops). Further hydrogen bonds mediate the characteristic L-shaped molecular structure. tRNAs have two regions of fundamental functional importance: the anti-codon, which is responsible for specific mRNA codon recognition, and the 3' end, to which the tRNAs corresponding amino acid is attached (by aminoacyl-tRNA synthetases). tRNAs cope with the degeneracy of the genetic code in two manners: having more than one tRNA (with a specific anti-codon) for a particular amino acid; and 'wobble' base-pairing, i.e. permitting non-standard base-pairing at the 3rd anti-codon position.
Source: Rfam by way of RNAcentral